Long non-coding RNA from Physeter macrocephalus (sperm whale), 718 nucleotides. RefSeq lists it as uncharacterized. The transcript has 6 exons. The record is from RefSeq and is a predicted model, not a curated record. NCBI's taxonomy places the organism in Eukaryota, Metazoa, Chordata, Mammalia, Artiodactyla, Physeteridae.
GGGGCUGCGGCCAGGAGGCUCGACACCAGGAUGCUCUCGCCUGGGGCUGGUCCCCGCGACGCCUUUCGUGACUAAGGCCCGGUGGUGGGGCGAGGCCCACGAGCGCUUUCGCUGGCCCGGCAUCCAGAGCCUCCAGAUGAAAACUCAGCUCAGCUGACCCCUUUAUUUCUGCUUUGUGAUUCACUGAAUAGAGGACCCAGUCACACCAUGCCGGACGUCAGAACUAUGGAAUUAAAUCUUCUGACAUCUUCAACUGCUCUGUGAAAUCUACUAUAAUAUGCUGUACCGGGAUGGAAGAAGGCGGAAUGUGAUGGCAUGUCUCUCCACUUCAAGUUCCAGACAUCCUAUUAGCCAGAACUUGGUCACAUGCCACAUCUAUCUGCCAAAGAAACAGAAAUCUAGUCUUCAGAGUGGUCAUGUGAUCCAGAUAAAAAUUCUAUUGCUAUGAAAGGAAGGAAUGGAUUAAUGAGGCAGUCCAGUACCUUUCUUCCAUACCUUGAGAUUACUGUACUGCAAAUGCCAACUGGAACUAGAGACUAUGCUGGAUAUCUAAGAAUAAGAAUUCAAGAGUUAUCGAUGAAUCAGCAAAAGUUCAAACAGUGAGAAGGAAAUGCCAAUAGCAAUUCUAGAACUGGACAAUUGUAAAUGGCUGCCAAGGUAAGUAUUUGUCUCCCUCAUUAUGUUGCACUAAGUAAAACUUCCAACUUUUUUAACUGGA